ACAUCAGCCGCCGCGGUAAUACAGAGGGUGCGAGCGUUAAUCGGAUUUACUGGGCGUAAAGCGUGCGUAGGCGGCUAAUUGAGUCGGAUGUGAAAUCCCCGAGCUUAACUUGGGAAUUGCAUUCGAUACUGGUUAGCUAGAGUGUGGGAGAGGAUGGUAGAAUUCCAGGUGUAGCGGUGAAAUGCGUAGAGAUCUGGAGGAAUACCGAUGGCGAAGGCAGCCAUCUGGCCUAACACUGACGCUGAGGUACGAAAGCAUGGGGAGCAAACAGGAUUAGAUACCCGUGUAGUCCCUGUCUCUUAUAC
Molecule: ribosomal RNA, 305 nt
Filed under: uncultured bacterium
Lineage: Bacteria
Description: partial 16S ribosomal RNA
Rfam family: Bacterial small subunit ribosomal RNA
Source: RNAcentral